CUCCUAGAAAACAGAAGAUCCAGACAAAUGUUUGCAAACGUCGCCAAGAGCAUUCACUUUCCCUCCGCGAAUCCUCCUUCCCACUGACGUCGCUGGAACCAACACCAAAUACCAGGGGAAAAUGAUUUCCAUUCACCUUCCUCAAGAAAGUGCCACAUAGGAGCGUAAUGAACUUGGCCAAGCUCGAAGAAAUGAAGCAGCAUUCUCUAUUAUAUUUGCCUGAAAGAUGCGUCUGUGAAAAUUUUAGUAAUUACAAAGUUUCCAUAGCCUUUUUAUACUCCUAAGGGCCAUAAAGAUGAAACAUCUAAAUCUGGAAGGAUGAACAGUGUGCUGGGAUUAUAGUUUUUAUUCUUAUUAGGAGUUUAAUCACCCACAGCGCCGUUUCUCUUAGAUCUAGCACGAUUGUUUUCUGACUGGUGUCCACUUUCUUUGUUCCCCAGGUUGUACCACUGGUCUGCUUCAGACUCUGUGCAGAGGAAGGCCAGCCCAGCUCCAGGACAAACCUGCCAAAAUACUGCAAAAAAAUAUGUUGCUGAUCACGGGCAGGAAAUACUCCAAGUCCCACGAGAUAUAGCCUGUUCUCAGGAGACUUCCACACCAAGUCUGCUGACCUCAGAAGGAGCAUCAGGCCACCAGACUCAAGGCUGGAGCCUGCUCAGGGCCAGGAGGUAUUUGGGAGCUCCUCAUUCCAGGAGUUUGUGCCAACGUGGUACUUGGGAUUCUUUUAAGCUCUAAGUGUUGUUUGUUUUUUUGUUUGUUUUUCAGAAGGGAAACAGAUGGCAAAAACUGGACUCAGUAGGGAAAUGGUUGAAUUGAUUAUAUUAUGUCAAUCUAUUCAUUUCUACUGUAAUAGCUAAGAUUUAUUAAACUUUUAGCAUGUGCUAGGUAUUGUUGGAAGCACUUUUCAUGAAUUAACUCAGUCCUCUCAUUAAGUCCCUUGGACAGAAGUACUGCUGUCAAUAUCAUACCUGAGAGACAGGGGUGUUGCAUUACUUUUUCAAGAAGGCGUGGCAGGUGAGCAUGAAGGCAGAUUUGAAACAAGAGGGGCUGGCUCCACAGCCUGUGCUCUUAGCUUAUAUGGUACAAUCUCAGUUAUAAUAUGUCUGGAUCUGAAGCGAGAGCCACAGCAUAUUGGUAAGGGAGGGUAGUUGUUAUAUAGAGGGUGGAGGAAGCUAGGGGGUGGAGGGAUUGAGCAAAUAGGAAAAGGGACUCAUGGACAUGGACAGCAGUGUGGUGAUCACGGGGUGGGGAUGGCCAAAGAGGGUAUAAGGGGACUAAAUGGUAAUGGGAAAACAAGGCAAAACAAAACUGCUUCACCAAGUGAAGAAAUCAAUAGCCCGAGAAGCCAUUUCCUACCUCCAUUCUGGGCUUUAUUCAAUCGUCUGUUUUGCUAAGUAGGAGUAAUGAUAUCUGCCCUGCAUACCUCACAGAAAGUAGGAACCAAAGAAAUCACAUGGAUAAAAGUGCUUUGACAAUCACUUUGUAAUAAAGUUUUAUUAUCAAGAAUAUCCUUACUGAUAUUGCUAUAUAAGUGUUAAAUAUAUUAUAUAUUAUAUAAAUUCUACAUUGUAUUAUCCUUAUAUAUUAUAUAAAUAACAUUGAUAUUGCCACAUAAAUCUAGGUUAGUGUUGAAGUGUAUUCAAAGAGAGGAACAUUAUUUAUUGAUAUGCUAUUAGACAUGUGAAUUAAGGGUAUUGCAGUCUAAAGUUCCUGGGAAACAUAGAGGUUUAACAAAAUUAAACUUAAAAAAAUUGCAAGUUAUCAGCUAAACUGUAUUUUUCCAACCCCCAUCCCCUGCCCAAAUUCAUAUGUUGAAGCCCUGAUCCUCAGCACUUCCGAAUGUGACUCUGUUUAGAGAUAGUUCCUCUAAAGAGCUGAUUAAGUAAAAUGAGGCUGCUGGCAUGGGUCCUAAUCCAGUGUGGCUGGUGUUUUUAUAAGAAGAGAAAAUUUGGACACAUGAAUUGAUGCCAGAGGUGCACAAGCAUCCAGGAAAGACCACAUGAAGACACAGCAAGAAGGUGGCCAUCUGCAAGCCAAGGAGAGAGGCCUCAGAAGAAACCAAAUGUGUUGAUACCUUGACCUUGGACUUCUAACCUCUAGAGCAGUGAGAAAACACAUUUCUGAUGUUUAAAACACCCCCAGUCUAUGGUAUUUUCUUGUAAUAGAUGAAGAGGCUGCUUCUACUGGCAAUGAAGGCUCAACAGAAUUGUGGGUUCUGGUGUUCCAAGCUCUAAAAGGGACUUCCUACAUGUACUCAUUCCGGUUUUCAGGAUCCCGUUCCUUCCGUUUGGUGCCUUCCCUUUCACAGUAGACAUCUUGCCAUGUAUUGUAAUUCAGCCACUAGCAGGAUGAGAAUCUGGGCUUGGUUUUCAAGAAUUUCUGCUCUGCAGCUCUAGAAAGUGAAUCUCUCUCAGGGCACAUGGAGAGGCUUCCAGGUCAUUUGCGCAGCACUUGAGGUAGAAACGAGAAUCCCUUAGCUCAUCCUGUUCUUUCCCCACUUUCGUCAGUAACAUCAGGAACCAUCGACUGAACUCGUUAUACUUGUUAGUUUGACUGAAGUGUUCAAACACAUACAUGCUUCUUACAUGUGUUUGAUCAGGAGGACCCAGUGUUGAUAUUUUGUGUAUCUCUAUUGCCACAUCAUACCGUAGGCUACCGGCCCUCUCUUGACUAUGGGAAAUGGAGUAAUUAGCAUCCUUAAAUCUAAUCAGAUUAGAGAGUCAAUUCUGGAAAAUCUGAAACUUAUUCAGAAAACUCAUCCUUAAGAUUCUGUUCCUCUAGCACCAUUCUUUGUGCCAAAAUCUCUGUGUUAGUCAGCUGUUCAUUUGGAGGACCCUGACUGAUACAUGUGGCAUUUUUCAGAUCCUUAAUAUAUUAAUGUUCACUGUGAACAUCCAAGGAGGUGAGAUCAUCCAGCCUUUCCCAAACACAGUUGUCCACAAAACACAGUUUUCAAGUAUUUUCUAAGGUGAGUGUUUAGGGAAAAUGAUGGAAUAUACACUGCACUACAUGGAGAAUUUGUGUGAGUGGGUGAGGAAGAGUGUGCGUGUACGUGCAAUGCAUGGGUUAAAAUCUUACACCGGGGCGGGGGUGGGGGGGGAGCUGAGAGGCCCUCUGCCUUCCCGCCUCUGGUACCAUCACUCCUUACGCUCUUUUCGUAUUCGACUAAGUCUACAGUUCUGGUUUGAGUUUCAUUUUUGGGCUACAGACCGACUGGAUAUUUAUCCACUUAUUACUUAGAGAUGUGUUUGAAUACCUACUAUGUGCCAGGCCCUGUUCUUGGUCCUGGGAAUAUAGUGGUGAACAAAACAGACAAGAUGUGACUGCUCUGGUGAGGCUCAGGUUCUGGUGGGGGGAGAGAGAUGAUAGAGAAAAUCAACAAGUAAAUUGCCUAGAGGGACGCGAUGACACAAUGUGGGUGCUGCGGGCUGAAAUAAAGCAGGGAAGGAGCCAGGGAGGGCUGGGUGGCCUGGAUGGGCGUGGGACUGCAGUUUAAAUAGAGGAGGGUCUAUUUAUUUAAAGAUGGAUCUAAGGUGACAUGGAACAGAUGGGAGUGAAAUGUGGGAGGUGCCCUGAGACCAUCUGGGAGGGGCAUUUCAGGCUCAGGGAACAGCAAGCACAUGGCCACAAGAACAUGUGGGUAUGUUCUAGAAACAGCAGGGGGGCCAGCCCGCUGGAGCAGAGAGAGUGUAGGGAGAAUGAGAGAGAGAAUGUAGGGCGAGUGUUUUUUUCCCGUAACCCAGGUCCUGUCUUGUGUCCUGGUCAGUCACCAAGGCCUGUUACUGUGCAGCCCCCUCACCUCACAGCAGACAGGUGGUUUUAUCACCCUGCAGGAUAGCCACUCCCUUAGGGCCUGAGUGUGCGGCCCUCUCUAGGAAAGGGCGCUGAGCCACACUAAGUAUUCUCCUGGCUUCACAGAGAAGACAGAAAAUGGAUCAUGGCACACAGCCAUAUGGCUACUUUAGUCUCCAAGUCAACAUCAAGUUAAUGAGUAUAUAUGAUACAAAGACAUGUAUUUUGGGGAGAGGUGCAUUUUGGAGUAUUUAAUUUCAUCUGUAAUAUCAAUUAAACUGAUUUUUGCAGGAUACGUGCUUGGAGGAAAGAGCUUGCAGAAUAUUGACAUUGAAGAGGACUAUUUAGGAAACAAAGUAUGAAACUCAAGAUGCGUUGGUUACAGUAGACACAGUACCUGAAACCUGCACUUCUGUGACUGGACCUGACUCAUGAUGGGGCCCACUGGACCAUACACUGGUUUUCCCAAUCGGAACUUGGCUGCGCCCGGAGCACACUCCUCCCAUGCUUGUUUGCACAGCCAUCGUAACUAAACUUGGUGACCGAACUAAAGAGGAGCUACUUUAUCAACAGAGGUCGUCUGAUGUUUUUUUUAAACCAAAUAAAAUUCAGACAACUUUUGCCUUUUUCUAGUUUUCUGAUAUUCCUGUUCUCCAUGAUCCUACCAGGAUUAUUGCCAGGAGUUUAGCAAAUACAUCUGCAAAUAGUUGGGAUUAUAACUCACUAGACCCAGAAUCUUGAAUUUUUGCAAAAUUGCCCUUGUUUUUAUUUUGCCUGUUGGUUUCUCACUUUCUUUAGCUUCCAUUCUAAUGCUUCACCCUGAACCUUUUUAAAAACAAAGCCAUAGUAACUCUUCUUUCGAAUGCAUUCUUGUUGACGAGAAGAAAGACAAAAAAUGGGUAGUCAACACUUGCUGCUUUCUCUUAGUCUUCUGCUGCUCUUAACGUUUUGCUGCUUUCCUAGACCAUGGCCUGGUCCUUUCCCAUCCCUGUUCUUUAAAGAACAUUUUAAUAAAUCCAUUAAAAAUUCUCUUUAUUACUGGUUUGCCUCACACACUUGUGUUUGCCUUUGGUUAGAUAAAUGCUCCUCUGUCUUUUGUGUAUGCUAUUAAUAUUUUUAAAAUAUUUGAACCUGACACAGAACUUUCUGUGCACUUUCAUUGGCUUCUGUAGGUAAACCUCUCUAUCCUUGAUGACUGAGAUAUUUUGUGAUCUUAAUAUAAUAUAGUGCAAUUUCUGUGUUUCCCAUCUACAAACCCAAAAGUCCAAGAAUAUGUCUUAGCCAUUACUGAGAAGACAAUGCCUGAAUUAACGGAAUGAGUACACCUUAUAAGAAACUUAUCUUUUUGAGUUUUCUGUUUUUAUGAAGUCUUACAGCCUUUAAGAAUCUAUUUUGUCAUCAACAGAAAUAUCUCACUUUUUGAAAUUAAAGUCUACCCAGUCCAGAAUUCCCUUUUCAGUGAAUUGCACUUUCCUAUACCACUUUCCUCUUGUAAUAAUUAAACCCAGCAAAGGAGUUCUUUGUGUCCAAACCCAAUUACGUGGCUUCAGUCUGAGAACUGGGACUGGAAAACCCAUCCAACUGUAUCGAAAUGAUUCUUUUGGACCUAAUAAACAAACAAUAAUCUUCCUUCUCAGUGUUCACUGAGUACCAAUUAUAAGUCUAUUACACUCAUGUAUUAUUAUAUGAAGUAUUACUAUCAUUGUGCAAUAUAACAUAAUGACAAUAACUUUUAUGCGACCAGGUGAUAUCAGGGGGACAAUUUCUUUUAGUACAAGUUGCUUACUUUUUCACAUCUAGUAUGCUACUUACUGCUUUACUUUGCUACGUAUUAUUGUAACUGAUGGAUUUAUGUGUACUCUGUAAUUUCUUUUAUAGUUAGUACAAACUUUAUGCUUUGUAUUGCUUAUCAUUUUAAACACUCAAGAUUCUACCACCUGUAUUUUUCCAGGAGUUCGCUGCUUUUUCACUUCAUAACACACAUAGAAAAAUAACAUUUGAUUCCCGUUGGGCUAAAUAUAUCUGGUUGCUCCCGGCCAGAGUAUUUUGGACUGGGAUCUCGGUUGUCCCAGGCCUGCCUGGCCACCCUGGGGGUUGAGAGGACCAGUGUCCCAACGCACUGAAAACCCAUUCAUAGCACAUUGGUUGGGAAACUGAUCAAUAGGAUUAAGAUGAUACUCCCUGAAAACAAUCCUCAAACAUAGCUCAGCAUAUGUUGGAGGUCACAGAAUCAACAGACUCUUCAGAAGGGGCUGGGCAGGGUGGAGUGUGGGCCAUGGAAAUUUGGAGUAUAGGAAGGGGACAAUCAUUUAAAGCAAAUGGUUUUAUUUCUCUGGACUGACAUGGUGAUGUCCUGGAAAAAGAUAAGCUCUUGCUCACCUUUAACCUUCCAGUCAUGAUUCAGCGUGACAUUUUCUCUUAUUUUUUCCACUGUAUUUCCAGACCGGUCUGGAUUUUCCCUCUUCACCCCAGGUUUGGGAGGAAAAUGAAAUUAGACUAAUAUUCCACUCUCUUUUACAACUAUCAAAGAUCAGUUGUUUUCAAUCAGAUAUUCUGAUUUAAUAUAUCUGGAGUGAGUCUGGGCUUAGGUAUUUUUACAAAUAUUCUCAGUGAUUUCAGUGGGCAGAAUUGUUGAGAACCACUGAUGGGUAUCAGUGGGAUAAUGGGAAUUUUGAAACUGAGCACAUCUGUGAAAGGACACACCCUGAACCACAAUCGUUCAAAGUAGAGAGGAGACAGGAGGUAAAAGCAGAGAGUACAGAAAGCAAACAUUUGUAUCAUGCAUCAUCUUUGGGCAUCUCUGUGUCUUGUUGGGAUUUGGACACUUCUGUUAGGAGAGUGGCUUAUUACUGCUCUGGUGAGAUAGAAGAAGCUUUGUAGAACAAAUCAACUUGUAAAACAUUUCAAAAAGGAAAAGGUAGUAAAAAUUAUGAAGUGUGAAUUCAUAAAUCAGCAAGAAAGAAGGGCCAGAGCAGCAAGUGGAGAAAUAGAUGGAGGAGUCAUUUGUUGGGGAGAGAGGACUGUGUGUGUGGCAAGGGGGGGGCAGGGUGGCGGGGAGCAAAGGAAGGAGAGAUACAGACUCUGGGCUCAGUGAGAAACUUGGUCAUUGAG
Long non-coding RNA from Phyllostomus discolor (pale spear-nosed bat), 6903 nucleotides. RefSeq lists it as uncharacterized. The record is from RefSeq and is a predicted model, not a curated record. The transcript has 2 exons. NCBI's taxonomy places the organism in Eukaryota, Metazoa, Chordata, Mammalia, Chiroptera, Phyllostomidae.